AAGCUUUUAAAAGGGCGUGAAGGAGGCACUCUAUAGCGCCACCUUUUGUCAAAAGUGGGGGGGUUAGUUUUAGCUACAGACACCAAACUUGGUACAUUAAUUUUUCUUUUCAAGACGGACAACUUUCUAAUUCAGUCAUCAGCUACGACCAACAGGAAGUCGGCUAUUUUUAUUUGAAUAUUUAAAUUGAGCUCUGAUUUAAUGCAUACUCCUCACAGGAAAUGUUCACUAUACUCACCAAACUUUGUCUACAUGUUGAAAAAACAUUGAGGAACUUAAAUUGCGAACGGAUUUUGGUUAGCUUGAACGGUUUUGUCGUGGUGAUUUUGCCAUGCAUAGUUUCAUGACUUUACAACACUGUAUGAAUAACAGAAAAUUAAAAAACUGUCAGACAUCUCAUCUCACUCUCUCCCUCUGUUUGAGUGUGUGUUCUUAGACUUCCAUUGUCUGAGAGAAAAUGCGCCUCUACAGGUUCAAUUCCCGGACUAAAAAAGGGAGGAGACUCUCUUUUGGUUUCACUUUUAAAUCGGUUAAAAUACAAAUAAAUACUUGGAUUUAAUUCACACUGACAAGCUAAACCAAUAUAUAUGAUUAUUAUCAGGUCAGGGCUCAUUAAUAAUUGAUGUGUGGUCAGUGAUACGUGAGAAACACGAGAGAUGAAUCACCGCUCUGAGCAGGAGCGUGUGGAAUGAUGAGCUCAGAAAAAACGAGUUUAUUCUUGUUUAAGAGGUUUUUAAAAUAAAUUAUUGCCAUAAAUGCACACAAUGCAUCCAUUAUAACACACCAAGAGCUAAAUGCAGGUGUUUUUGACCCGUUUAUGUGCGCAAGACUAUUUGAAAGCGCGACUGGCAGAAUAACAUAUAUCUCUCGAGCUGCAGGAUUCUGCCUUUCGUCGUAAGAACGAACACAUCUCGGACAAGAUUAUUUCAAAAUACAUAAUAGCUUGGCUAAUAUAAACGAAAACAGCCACGUGAACAUAAACUGUUGAGAAAUAAAUCUGAAGUGGAUCUACUGGAUUUUAAUAUUAAGUGACCGCAUAUACCAGCUGCUUCUGUCUUCAAUUUUAAUCUAUAUAAAAAAUUAAACUCAUUCAUCUUGGCUGCUUUUUUAAUGUGUGUACCUAUUUAUUUAUUAUUUUACUCUAACAAGACUUAAUCUAUAUUUAAUUAAAUCAAUUACAUUAUAUUUUACAUUUGAUUUGUCCAUUUCUGCAUCUAAACGCAUAAAAACCUAAAACAUGCUCUAUUAUACUAUUGUUAGCAAUUUCUUUAUCUUCCAAUUUAUCUGGUGUACACACUUUUAUUUUCAUAAUAAACUUGUUUGUUAGAUUAUACACAGUUA
RNAcentral lists this long non-coding RNA (1341 nucleotides) under Carassius auratus (goldfish). RNAcentral's name for it is "lncRNA (ENSCARG00000047289.1)". The record is from RNAcentral. Lineage: Eukaryota; Metazoa; Chordata; Actinopteri; Cypriniformes; Cyprinidae.